AUAUGAGCAUACAGCAAUGGUUGGCGUGUGAACCGUGUCAGGUCUUGAUCGAAGCAGCACUAAGCAUCAGUCAGUCAUGUGCUGUAUGUAUAUUUUUU
Molecule: signal recognition particle RNA, 98 nt
Filed under: Atopococcus tabaci
Lineage: Bacteria; Bacillati; Bacillota; Bacilli; Lactobacillales; Carnobacteriaceae
Description: Bacterial small signal recognition particle RNA
Rfam family: Bacterial small signal recognition particle RNA
About the family: The signal recognition particle (SRP) is a universally conserved ribonucleoprotein involved in the co-translational targeting of proteins to membranes.
Source: Rfam by way of RNAcentral